Molecule: non-coding RNA, 79 nt
Organism: Phrynosoma platyrhinos (Desert horned lizard)
Lineage: Eukaryota; Metazoa; Chordata; Lepidosauria; Squamata; Phrynosomatidae
Source: the annotation of a GenBank genome assembly
GCCAGUGUGAUGUAGUGCUUUGAGUGUUGGACUGUGAUUUUAGACUCUAGAAACCAGGGUUCAAAUCCCUGCUCAGCCA